CGUAUUUGAAACCAGUAGUGAUGUAUGUUAUUUAAUUUGAUAAUCCGCAAAAAACCUUACCACAACUUGAAUGUCUAUAUAUUUAUUUUUAUCAUACUUUUGUGUGUAGUUUUUGUAUAACUUAGACUGGACGUUAUGCAAUAAUAUUAUAAGAUAAAAUCAUAGGUACAAGUGUUGCACGGCUGUCUACAGUUAAUGUCGUCAGACUAUGGUUAGUUCCAUUAAAUUAACGUAAACCCUUGCUCUAUUUUAAAAUAGAGUAGUUCUCCACUAUAUUGGAUAAGAUAACAGGGAACAAGACAAGUCAUCAUGGCCUUAAUGUUGUGGGCUAUAGACGUGCCGCGUGAGCCUUUACAAAAGGAUG
RNAcentral lists this ribosomal RNA (364 nucleotides) under Micarea microsorediata. RNAcentral describes it as "SSU rRNA". It matches the Rfam family "Bacterial small subunit ribosomal RNA", at positions 925 to 1249 of the family's 1533-position model. Lineage: Eukaryota; Fungi; Ascomycota; Lecanoromycetes; Lecanorales; Micareaceae. The record is from RNAcentral.